This 20-nucleotide small nuclear RNA is filed under the name Arabidopsis thaliana (thale cress). Its description in RNAcentral is "snRNA_17396". Lineage: Eukaryota; Viridiplantae; Streptophyta; Magnoliopsida; Brassicales; Brassicaceae. The record is from RNAcentral.
CAGAGCAGCGUCCACCUCCC